GCAGAUGCUUCUGCAGCUGUAUCGUCUCAUUCUGCCGUCUCUGCCACUAGUCAAGCUACUCAAACGAUGGACUUUACAAGUGAAAAACUGCACACAGAACACUGUAGGUACGAAGGCCAAGGAAAGGUGACUUCGGAAACUUGUCAUAGCAAGGUGUCUGUUGAGAUCUCCAGUUUUGAGUCAGACAUCACAUUUUUUGCCAAACGACACGAUCC
Stylophora pistillata is the source of this 215-nucleotide long non-coding RNA. Lineage: Eukaryota; Metazoa; Cnidaria; Anthozoa; Scleractinia; Pocilloporidae. The record is from RefSeq and is a predicted model, not a curated record.